This is a long non-coding RNA of Drosophila hydei, 638 nucleotides long. RefSeq lists it as uncharacterized. The record is from RefSeq and is a predicted model, not a curated record. The transcript is spliced from 3 exons. NCBI's taxonomy places the organism in Eukaryota, Metazoa, Arthropoda, Insecta, Diptera, Drosophilidae.
AAUAUGUGUGAAAACUUAAAUGAAUUACAUUUGGUCAGAUGUUUGAUCAAUUGGUAUAUUUCUUAUCAAGUUAUAUGAAACUUUGUGCAUAUUGCAUGCAUCAAAUGGCAUAACAACAACAACAAAAACAACGACAAGGAUAACAAACUUCUUCACUUGCAACAUUUUUUAUGACAAAGAAUGAAAUGAGAUGAAAUUAUUGACGGAAAAAAACGGAAAUCGCUGGCAAUAGUCAAAGGAAAUAAAAGCGAAAUUACUUUUGAUAAAGCAAGAGCAUCAACAACAACAACGAGAAGACGCAGAAGAAGAUGAGCAAGGACUUACACUAAAACUACACACACACACGCACACACUCGUAAAAAGGCAGCAGGAAGUUAACUACAAGAGGGCGUUGAUUUGUCACAACUAGAGAAUUAUGAGAGCCACGAUGCGUGGACUGAAGCAGCUGCCAACAGCCACAACAACAACAAUAGCAACAGCAGCAGGAGCAUCGAGCACAACAACAAACACUUCAAUUACCGGAAAACGUGUCUGAUAAUACCUCCCGAGAUUUCAGCCCAGCAGCUAAAAAAACUUAUACCCUGUAAAUGAAGACAGCUUGUAUAUGAGAAGUUCUAUUGGAAUAUAUAAAAGUCCGC